CAGCAGCCGCGGUAAUUCGUAGGUGGCAAGCGUUGUCCGGAAUUAUUGGGCGUAAAGCGCGCGCAGGUGGUUUAAUAAGUCUGAUGUGAAAGCCCACGGCUCAACCGUGGAGGGUCAUUGGAAACCGUUAAACUUGAGUGCAGGAGAGAAAAGUGGAAUUCCUAGUGUAGCGGUGAAAUGCGUAGAGAUUAGGAGGAACACCAGUGGCGAAGGCGGCUUUUUGGCCUGUAACUGACACUGAGGCGCGAAAGCGUGGGGAGCAAACAGGAUUAGAUACCCCCGUAGUCCCUGUCUCUUAUAC
Molecule: ribosomal RNA, 301 nt
Filed under: uncultured bacterium
Lineage: Bacteria
Description: partial 16S ribosomal RNA
Rfam family: Bacterial small subunit ribosomal RNA
Source: RNAcentral